UACGGCGGCCAUAGCGUGGGGGAAACGCCCGGACCCAUCUCGAACCCGGAAGCUAAGACCCACAGCGCCCAUGGUACUGCACUCGCGAGGGUGUGGGAGAGUAGGACACCGCCGGAC
Molecule: ribosomal RNA, 117 nt
Organism: Renibacterium salmoninarum ATCC 33209
Lineage: Bacteria; Bacillati; Actinomycetota; Actinomycetes; Micrococcales; Micrococcaceae
Source: Rfam